ACGGGGUGGCAGCAGGCGCGAAACCUUUACACUGCACGCCAGUGCGAUAAGGGGACUCCGAGUGCGAGGGCAUAUAGUCCUCGCUUUUCACCACCGUAAGGAGGUGGUAGAAUAAGUGCUGGGCAAGACCGGUGCCAGCCGCCGCGGUAAUACCGGCAGCACGAGUGAUGACCGCUAUUAUUGGGCCUAAAGCGUCCGUAGCUGGCCGUGCAAGUCUAUCGGGAAAUCUGCUCGCCUAACGAGCAGGCGUCCGGUGGAACCUGCAUGGCUUGGGACCGGAAGACCAGAGGGGUACGUCCGGGGUAGGAGUGAAAUCCCGUAAUCCUGGACGGACCACCGGUGGCGAAAGCGCCUCUGGAAGACGGAUCCGACGGUGAGGGACGAAAGCUCGGGUCACGAACCGGAUUAGAUACCCGGGUAGUCCGAGCUGUAAACGAUGUCUGCUAGAUGUGCCACAGGCUACGAGCCUGUGGUGUGUCGUAGGGAAGCCGUGAAGCAAACCGCCUGGGAAGUACGUCCGCAAGGAUGAAACUUAAAGGAAUUGGGGGGGGGAAAACACAAA
RNAcentral lists this ribosomal RNA (562 nucleotides) under Natronorubrum sp. A31. RNAcentral's name for it is "bacterial SSU rRNA". It matches the Rfam family "Archaeal small subunit ribosomal RNA", at positions 325 to 885 of the family's 1478-position model. The record is from RNAcentral. Lineage: Archaea; Methanobacteriati; Methanobacteriota; Halobacteria; Halobacteriales; Natrialbaceae.